RNAcentral lists this transfer RNA (72 nucleotides) under Actinia tenebrosa (Australian red waratah sea anemone). Its description in RNAcentral is "tRNA-Ser". It matches the Rfam family "tRNA". From Rfam's summary of the family: Transfer RNA (tRNA) molecules are approximately 80 nucleotides in length. The record is from Rfam by way of RNAcentral. Lineage: Eukaryota; Metazoa; Cnidaria; Anthozoa; Actiniaria; Actiniidae.
GUCCUUGUAGUAUAGUGGUUAAUACAUCAGACUGGAAUACUGAAGACGUGGGUUCGAUUCCCGCCAAAGCCA